UCUCAUUGAUUUCUUUCACCCCUCUUUAUUUAAAACAUUAUUCCGUUCAAAGGUUUUUCAUUUACAAAUAGAGUUCACACAUUUUCACAGCUCACCACCGGUGUUGUUGAUGAGUGAAAUGUGUUAGUUCGGUUCACCAGGAAGCCUUAUUAACAUGAAAUACAGUAAGCUGGUGGAAUUACAGUAAGCUACAUUUAAAUGGUGGAAUACAGUAAGCUACAUUUAAAUGGUGGAAUACAGUAAGAACAUUUACAUGAUGGAAUACAGUAAGCUACAUGUACAUGAUGGAAUACAUAAGCUACAUUUACAUGAUGGAAUACAGUAAGCUACAUUUACAUGAUGGAAUACAGUAAGCUACAUUUACAUGAUGGAAUACAGUAAGCUAAAAUUUACAUGAUGGAAUUCUACAAUGUAGAAAAUAGUAAAAAUAAAGAAAAACCCUUGAAUGAGUCGGUGUUCUAAAACUUUUGACUGGUGGUGUGUAUACAUUGUAAUGACUUUUGACUGGAUACAUUGUAACGACUCUUUUGACUGGAUACAUUGUAAUGACUCUUUUGACUGGAUACAUUGUAACGACUCUUUUGACUGGAUACAUUGUAACGACUCUUUUGACUGGAUACAUUGUAACGACUCUUUUGACUGGAUACAUUGUAACGACUCUUUUGACUGGAUACAUUGUAACGACUCUUUUGACUGGAUACAUUGUAACGACUCUCGUGGGUGGAAGAAGGGGACCAAGGGGCAGCGUGGCAGGCGUUCAUGAUUUUUAAUAAAACUGAACACAAAAUAACAAAGUAGAAAAAACAAAAGCGCACAGUUCUGUCAGGCAAACAAAACAGCUAAACAGAAAAUAACUCCCCACACAAAACCCAAACGGAAAAUCACAACUUAAAUAUGAUCCCCAAAUCAGAGACAACGAUAGACAGCUGCCUCUGAUUGGGAACCACACAUGGCAAAAACAACAACAAAGAAAUAGAAAACAUAGAAACAGAAAACCUAGAAUGCCCACCUUAAUCACACCCUGAAACCUAACCAAAAAUAGAGGAUUAAAAGGCUCUCUAAGGUCAGGGCGUGACAUACAUCGUCAAAUACACUAGAUAGGUCGCAGUGAAACAUGUUGUUUUACAGGGUCAGACUUAGUACUACAGCACCCCUAGAGCAAAUGAGCGUUAAGUGCCUUGCUCAAGGGCACAUCGACAUCAUUUUUACCUUGUCGGCUACUACUACAUGCUAAUACUACUGCCACUACUACUGCAGCUACUACUACUAUUGCUGCUACUGCUACUACUACUACUGCUGCUACUACUACUGCUACUACUACUACUACUACUAUUAUUAAAACUACUACUACUAUUACUACUACUGCUACUACUAUUAAAACUACUACUACAAGUAUUCAAAUCAGUGACCUUUCAGUUAACCAGCCCAAUGCUCUAACCGCUAGGCGACCUGCAUUCCCUGUCAUCCAUCUGGAUCUUCCUGUGUAUCUUUGACUCUUUAGAAGAUGGAAGGCAAAAGGGGGUGGUAACCGUAACAACAGAGAACACUAUUGAAGUGCACCAUGAUUUCUGUUCAAAGACAAACUCUGCGUCUCUUCUCGCCCCUCUUGCUGGCAAUCCUAUUGUUUUGUUUUUUGAUGUGACCUCCUUUCUCCUUACUUCUCCCAAACGUUAAUGCAAAUGAGUUUAAUUUCACACGACGAAGGAAAAGUAAACUUUCUUUCCAGAGUUGUGUGUCUGGUUCCCUGUGGGGGGUUCCAGAGAGCUGCAGAAACUCUGCUCCAAUUCUGUCAUUGUCAAAGUUUUGACAUAAACUGGUUCUUCAGUCGCCCUUUGUUGAGUGAUGCAGCGAGCGUACCAGGGUCCCAAUUCCUUCCCCCGUUAAUUUUUUAAAGGAGAAAAUGGAAGACGUCUAUUCCUUAAAGGACUGCGUUGGGGAUGCUUAUGCACUAACUAUUGUAAUGUCCCGUUGUGAUGUCUCUUGUUAUGCCUCCUUAUCCGCGGGGGGGCCGCUACCUUUGGCACUGUACCGUCAAAAACCAAUGGCAGCUCUGAAAUCAUUUCAAUAGCCUCUAAGACGAGCCAAGAGAAUUCAGAUUCUUCACAGAA
This is a long non-coding RNA of Oncorhynchus tshawytscha (Chinook salmon), 2108 nucleotides long. NCBI's taxonomy places the organism in Eukaryota, Metazoa, Chordata, Actinopteri, Salmoniformes, Salmonidae. The record is from Ensembl.